UUCUGUCUCAAUCAUUUCUUUCAUGAUAUUCUUUGGGAAAUAUAUUUCAUUCAUCUCUGCCCUAUGAGCAGUGUACAGCAGUUUAGGAGCCGUGCUGACCUUUCCUAGCACCAAGGAAGAUUGCAGAGUGCAGGAGCUUCAUUUUCCUCUUGCAGAGGAUUGUAGCAGUUUGGUGGAUUCCUGUGGGGACAGGCUUGGGAUGUCUGCAGGCUGCCCCAGCUGAGAGCAGGUCAGAGGGAUGCAGCUCCCCAGCACGUGACACCCACUGAAAGGGAAGGCAGUAGAUAUGGAAAGAGAAGAAAGUCAUUUUUCUCCAGAGCUACAGAGGCUUGCUAUUGAGUUCCCGCAAGGCUGAGUGAAGCUAAACACGUUGUGGCCAUACAGGUCAUGGAACAGUCUUGUUCUGGAUUUUUCCUCAAAGGGAAACUUCCCAAGAAAGCUGCUGGGGCCCCAGCUGACUCUCCUCACAGGUUGAACACUGUGGACUCCAGCAGUUUAGCCUCUCUAGUCUGUGGUACCUGAGAGAUGAAAUCCAGUGCUGGGUGGUGGGGAAGGCAGGAUGGAGUUACCUGCAUGCCUGUGAGCCCCUGCACUGCAUCAUGCAUGUAGCAGGGACAGUCUUCUGGCAUGGCUGGGCACAACCAUUGUUCAGGGGUGGGCAGAGCUUGCUGUGUGGCUCAAGGACUGUCUUGACUGCUGGACAUGUGCAUGGCCUGGGUGAGUCCCUCUUCCUGUGUUGUGCUCAAACAGCAUUUCUGGGCAAGGAGGUGAAGUUUGGGGAAACUCAGAAUGGGCAGUGCUAAGAACACCACAAGUGGGAUGAGCAGCAUUUGUGUGGGUGUUCACUGGCAUGUCUAAACUGUCCUUGCCUGGAGGACUGUAGGUGCAAGUACCUUCUUGGUUCCUGUUGUCCUGGCUCUCUGUUGUGGCCUUGUAUGUAUGUGAACGCUUGUUUAGUACUGAGUAAUUCCUGGUUCUGCGGGAUGAUGUGUAAAAUGGAGCUUAUCUCAGUUAUAGCUGAGCCCAAUUUACAUCUUUGCAGGGCUUACUCUGAAUACAUUUCUGGGACAUUUGAACUUCCUUCAAGAGCAAUUGUGAAAUUUCCUGUAACUAAUUUGAAAGCAGUAACCCCAUUGCUAGAUGGUGUUCAAAUGUUCUUGAAGAGCUUAGGUAGAACAACCAAUUUCUGGAGCAGUGUCAGGAUAUUGGCCAGGACUUUUUAUUGAAAAACAGUGUAUUCCUUAGUGGGACUGUGGGGUGCUUUUUUAUUUCAUGGUGGAAUGUGGCAUUUGAGAAUGGAGAUGUUGCCGUUGAAAGAUAAUUUUCUUAAUCACCUCUCAUCUCUGAAACAUACAGUAGGAACCCAAUUAUGGCUUGUGUUAGUGCACAAAAGUGUAGUUUUAUCAUGCUGAAGUUGUUUAUUGGAACAGUCAAAGUAGUUUUAUUGUGAAUGGGCUUUUUGCUGUAGGAUGGAAACUAUGAUUAAGUCUCAAGACAGUAAGAAGGGUUUGUGUGUAAUUCUUUAAGUACGCUCAUGGCACUCUCACAGUUUUCACUGAAAACUUCCUUAAUAACGCGUGGUCUGUUGAUUAUUUAAAAUCCUGGUCAAACAUUGUAAGAGUUAUAAAAACCUGAAGGAUUUAAAUAGUAUU
RNAcentral lists this long non-coding RNA (1652 nucleotides) under Gallus gallus (chicken). RNAcentral describes it as "lncRNA (ENSGALG00010026396.1)". The record is from RNAcentral. Lineage: Eukaryota; Metazoa; Chordata; Aves; Galliformes; Phasianidae.